GUGUCAGCCGCCGCGGUAAUACGGAGGGUGCAAGCGUUAAUCGGAAUUACUGGGCGUAAAGCGUGCGUAGGCGGCUGGCCAAGCCAGAUGUGAAAGCCCCGGGCUCAACCUGGGAACUGCAUUUGGAACUGGCCGGCUAGAGUUUGGGAGAGGCAAGUGGAAUUUCAGGUGUAGCGGUGAAAUGCGUAGAGAUCUGAAGGAACACCAGUGGCGAAGGCGACUUGCUGGCCCAAAACUGACGCUGAGGUACGAAAGCGUGGGUAGCAAACAGGAUUAGAAACCCGUGUAGUCC
This 292-nucleotide ribosomal RNA is filed under the name uncultured bacterium. Its description in RNAcentral is "partial 16S ribosomal RNA". It matches the Rfam family "Bacterial small subunit ribosomal RNA", at positions 505 to 796 of the family's 1533-position model. The record is from RNAcentral.